Molecule: long non-coding RNA, 2993 nt
Filed under: Homo sapiens (human)
Lineage: Eukaryota; Metazoa; Chordata; Mammalia; Primates; Hominidae
Description: non-protein coding lnc-ARHGAP44-2:1
Source: RNAcentral
CUUUUUUAACUAGUGGCCCAAUCAUUCCCACCAUCUCUGUGCUGAUAAGUACGUGUCCUAGAUGAGAACCCUGAAGAAUGCAGACCUUCUUCCCCCGAAGGAGAUGCCACAAGCUCUCCAACACAGCCCCCUUUAGUUCCAAAGACUAGAGAUGACCACAUUGGUAGAAGUAUAUCUCGAGGCACAGGAAGGGAGCCCCACCAGGGAUAAUUCAGACAGGACUAGAGAAUAACAUCAUUUCACAUACCCUGGGAUAAACACCCUGGGUUCCUAUAGAAGGACUAUUACUUAUGGGAGUCCAACUUCUCCUUUUGUUUUGUUAUUAUCAGUUUAUCUUUCUCCCACUCCACUUUUCCUUCAAGGUACCAAUCCUUUCCUGUUCCUCGUUUGGCCAUCUUUCUUUUUCUGCCUCCACAUUGGGAGGGGAGGACUUCUCAGUUCUAACAAGCUGCCAUACUCCUAAGAAAGCCAUUUUUGAAAAAUUUAACAAUCCAGGUUCUUCUGGAGAACUCAUUCUCCACACGCACAGUUUGCUGCAAAAGGAAGUUGCAAGAAUUUCUUGAGGAAGAAACUGGUGACUUGGUCCAUCAGUCACGAAGUUCUUUCUAUUCUCGUUUAGUUUUCAAGAAAUUAUUGGUUUGUGUUGCUCUGGGGAAAUUGGAAAUCAUUACAUUGUAAAGACAAAUAUGGAUGAUAUUUACAAGAGAGAAUUUCAGAUCUGGGUUUUUGAAAGAAAACAGAAUUGCGCAUUGAAAACGAUGGAAGGAAAAAGACAAUGGUCUAAUGUGCAUUCCUCAUUACCUCUCGUGGCUUUGGCUGGGAGUUGGAAAAAGCUAAAAUUUCAGAACAGUCUCUGUAAGGCUCUCUGUGGCUCCAGUUCACCAUUUUAUAUUGUUGCAUGCUGUAGAAAGGAGCUAUUGCUGUUGUUUUGUUUUUUUAUUUAAAUCACUAAGGCACUGUUUUUAUCUUUUGUAAAAAAAAAAAAAAAGUUGUUCACUGUGCACUUAUAGAAAAAAUAAUCAAAAAUGUUGGGAUUUUAGAAGCUCUCUUUUUGAUAAACCAAAGAUUUAGAAGUCAUUCCAUUGUUAACUUGUAAAAAUGUGUGAACACAGAGAGUUUUUGGUGAUUGCUACUCUGAAAGCUGCCAGAUCUUAUUCUGGGGGUGGGAUGUGGAGGAAUACACAUACACACACAAACAUACAUGUAUGUAUAAUAGAUAUAUACAUAUGUGUAUAUUAUAUCUGUGUGUGCAUGUAUCUCCAAAAGCGGCGUUACAGAGUUCUACACCAAAAGCCUUUAACCCUUAAUCUGCUGUGAAUGAUACCUGGCCUUUCUCACUAUGAAUUUCUGAUUAACCAACCAGACUACACGUUGCCUCUCUGUGUAUGACUAACGGCUCCAACCCGAUGACUCACAGCUACUUGCUUAUCGUGAACAAGCUCAUCUUGGCAAUGAAUAUGGAUGUGAAAAGACAGAACAGCUUCACCAUUAGUAGCUGGAAAUGGUAUCACAGUCUCUUAUAGAGGAAUAUGAAAGGAACAAGAAAAUCAUUUUACAUUCCUUUUAUCUGUAUUGUGCUUUAAAAGAUCCACAUGGUAAAUUUUUUAUUUUGCUUUUAUGUCAGUCAUCAGAACCAAAAAAAUCCAGAAGAAAAAAUUGCCAGUGUUUCCUUUGAAGAUGAAGCUACUGGGGAAGAAAACCUUAUUAAUACACUCCACACAUUUGUUCAUUCCUCAGCUGUUGGUGUUUUCUUGGGGUCUUGACAAAGCUUGCUGGUCAGUGCACUUUUCAGGUGUCACGUUUUGCUGUUUGUAUGUUUUUUCUUCCCCUUACUUCCUUUGGAAAACAAACUCACACAGUGCCCCUACUCUGAGACCUGGGACUGAGUGUUAAUUAUUUUUUCCUUGGGUAUUUCUAUCUGAGAGACUAGACCUAGUUAGGAGGCCUCUGUACUUCUCCAGAUUGUACCUUUUUAUGGGGAUCUUUGAGGCUAUGACCCAGGACUGAUAGAUAUGCCUUACGGAAGACAAAAGAUAAAAUGGUUCCUAUAUCCUAAUGCAAACCAACACAGUUAAAAGAGCAGAUCUCUGGAUAACUGCUCUCAACCUGCUUCUACAGUCUCCACAAACCGCAUUCACCCUCUCUCUUCAUAGCUCAGACAUGAAAUUUGAGGGAGAAAACUGGAGAUAAUUGGGAGAAAAUUGAUGAAGUUGGCUGCUUCCAGUAGAUCAGAUAAUCCAUGAAUUUGUCUCCCAUUGAGAAUUUUAUUUUAAAUUCUUUUAAACUCUUCGUUGUGUCUUUUGUGAUGACAAAUCAGGCAUGACUAAAAGAUGUACAGAGACUUACGAAGAUGGUCACAUUCAAGUUCCCUAAUGCUCUUAGAACCUGAAGAUGACCAUGUGUAGUUUUCUUAAGACCUCUGAACCCCCAUGGUGAUGAAGACUUGAAGACAUUUGCAGCUAUCUGCUGCAGUCUGGUAGAUUCAUACUUAUCUAAAGAAGUCAAAAAAUUUAUUCGUGCAAGUGCUUGCAGGAAGCCAGUGCUUAUUAGUAGUGACCCUGCUUCUAUCAACGUUAUUGAGACAACACAUAUUCUAUUCUAAGGGAGAAAGAGGGAGGAAGAGAGGGAGGGAGGGAGGAAGAAGAGGGAGGGAGCGAGGAAGGAAGAUAGGAGAUGGGUAGGGGGGUAAAGAGAAAAGGAGGGAGAAGGGAAGGAAGGAAAGAAGAGAGGAAAGAAAGGAGGGAAGGAAAAAAGGGCCAAACUUUCUGAUCUAUGAACUUCUCAGUUCAGCUGUCACAUUAUGAGAAGUAAAUCAGAAUUUUUUUAAGGAGAAGUCAUUCUUAGCACUACAAUAAUUGUACCAGUAAUUGAGGAAACCAAGACAAUCUUCACCUGAAUAAUAGAGGGUCUGAGAACUGUCAGCCUUUUGCCAUUCAAAAACAUUUAUGUCCAACCUGAAAAAAAAGCAUCAAUAAAACCUAUCCCAAGCAUUC